AGUGAACGCUGGCGGCAGGCCUAACACAUGCAAGUCGAGCGGCAGCGCGGGGGCAACCCUGGCGGCGAGCGGCGGACGGGUGAGGAAUACAUCGGAAUCUACCUUCUUGUGGGGGAUAACGUAGGGAAACUUACGCUAAUACCGCAUGAGACCUGAGGGUGAAAGCAGGGGACCGCAAGGCCUUGCGCGAGAAGAUGAGC
Molecule: ribosomal RNA, 200 nt
Filed under: uncultured bacterium
Lineage: Bacteria
Description: partial 16S ribosomal RNA
Rfam family: Bacterial small subunit ribosomal RNA
Source: RNAcentral